GGACUACUGGGGUUUCUAAUCCCGUUCGCUCCCCUGGCUUUCGCGCCUCAGCGUCAGCAGAGGUCCAGCGCGCCGCUUUCGCCACCGGCGUUCCUUCCGAUAUCUACGCAUUUCACCGCUCCACCGGAAGUUCCGCGCGCCCCUACCUCCCUCGAGACGUCCAGUAUCCCAGGCCAUUCCCCGGUUGAGCCGGGGGCUUUCACCCCGGACUGGGACGUCCGCCUACGCGCCCUUUAAGCCCAGUGAUUCCGAACAACGUUCGCACGGUUCGUCUUACCGCGGCUGCUGGCAC
This 292-nucleotide ribosomal RNA is filed under the name uncultured Planctomycetota bacterium. Its description in RNAcentral is "uncultured planctomycete partial 16S ribosomal RNA". The record is from RNAcentral. Lineage: Bacteria; Pseudomonadati; Planctomycetota.